UUGCCAGACUCCUACGGGAGGCAGCAGUGGGGAAUAUUGCACAAUGGGGGAAACCCUGAUGCAGCGACGCCGCGUGAGCGAUGAAGUAUCUCGGUAUGUAAAGCUCUAUCAGCAGGGAAGAAAGUGACAGUACCUGACUAAGAAGCCCCGGCUAACUACGUGCCAGCAGCCGCGGUAAUACGUAGGGGGCAAGCGUUAUCCGGAUUUACUGGGUGUAAAGGGGGCGCAGACGGCGAUGCAAGCCAGGAGUGAAAGCCCGGGGCCCAACCCCGGGACUGCUCUUGGAACUGCGUGGCUGGAGUGCAGGAGGGGCAGGCGGAAUUCCUGGUGUAGCGGUGAAAUGCGUAGAUAUCAGGAGGAACACCGGUGGCGAAGGCGGCCUGCUGGACUGCAACUGACGUUGAGGCCCGAAAGCGUGGGGAGCAAACAGGAUUAGAUACCCCGGUA
This 447-nucleotide ribosomal RNA is filed under the name uncultured bacterium. Its description in RNAcentral is "partial 16S ribosomal RNA". It matches the Rfam family "Bacterial small subunit ribosomal RNA", at positions 328 to 792 of the family's 1533-position model. The record is from RNAcentral.